RNAcentral lists this transfer RNA (78 nucleotides) under Cutibacterium acnes. RNAcentral's name for it is "tRNA-Arg". It matches the Rfam family "tRNA". From Rfam's summary of the family: Transfer RNA (tRNA) molecules are approximately 80 nucleotides in length. RNAcentral also lists the same sequence under 1 other name. The record is from RNAcentral. Lineage: Bacteria; Bacillati; Actinomycetota; Actinomycetes; Propionibacteriales; Propionibacteriaceae.
UGCGCCCGUGGCUCAACGGAUAGAGCAUCUGACUACGGAUCAGAAGGUUGGGGGUUCGAAUCCCUCCGGGCGCGCAGA